UACAGAGGCCCCAAGCGUUACUGAGAAUCACUGGGUUUAAAGGGUGCGUAGGUGGUCCGUUAAGUCUAUUGUGAAAUCCCCGGGCUCAACCCGGGAACUGCUUUAGAUACUGGCGGACUUGAGGCCAGUAGGGGUCACUAGAACUGACGGUGGAGCGGUGAAAUGCGUAGAUAUCGUCAGGAAUGCCGGUGGUGAAGACGGGUGACUGGGCUGGUUCUGACACUGAGGCACGAAAGCGUGGGGAG
This 245-nucleotide ribosomal RNA is filed under the name uncultured bacterium. RNAcentral's name for it is "partial 16S ribosomal RNA". It matches the Rfam family "Bacterial small subunit ribosomal RNA", at positions 524 to 768 of the family's 1533-position model. The record is from RNAcentral.